GGGUUGUGAGGUUAAGCGACUAAGCGUACACGGUGGAUGCCCUGGCAGUCAGAGGCGAUGAAGGACGUGCUAAUCUGCGAUAAGCGUCGGUAAGGUGAUAUGAACCGUUAUAACCGGCGAUUUCCGAAUGGGGAAACCCAGUGUGUUUCGACACACUAUCAUUAACUGAAUCCAUAGGUUAAUGAGGCGAACCGGGGGAACUGAAACAUCUAAGUACCCCGAGGAAAAGAAAUCAACCGAGAUUCCCCCAGUAGCGGCGAGCGAACGGGGAGCAGCCCAGAGCCUGAAUCAGUAUGUGUGUUAGUGGAAGCGUCUGGAAAGGCGCGCGAUACAGGGUGACAGCCCCGUACACAAAAAUGCACAUGCUGUGAGCUCGAUGAGUAGGGCGGGACACGUGGUAUCCUGUCUGAAUAUGGGGGACCAUCCUCCAAGGCUAAAUACUCCUGACUGACCGAUAGUGAACCAGUACCGUGAGGGAAAGGCGAAAAGAACCCCGGCGAGGGGAGUGAAAAAGAACCUGAAACCGUGUACGUACAAGCAGUGGGAGCACGCUUAGGCGUGUGACUGCGUACCUUUUGUAUAAUGGGUCAGCGACUUAUAUUCUGUAGCAAGGUUAACCGAAUAGGGGAGCCGAAGGGAAACCGAGUCUUAACUGGGCGUUAAGUUGCAGGGUAUAGACCCGAAACCCGGUGAUCUAGCCAUGGGCAGGUUGAAGGUUGGGUAACACUAACUGGAGGACCGAACCGACUAAUGUUGAAAAAUUAGCGGAUGACUUGUGGCUGGGGGUGAAAGGCCAAUCAAACCGGGAGAUAGCUGGUUCUCCCCGAAAGCUAUUUAGGUAGCGCCUCGUGAAUUCAUCUCCGGGGGUAGAGCACUGUUUCGGCAAGGGGGUCAUCCCGACUUACCAACCCGAUGCAAACUGCGAAUACCGGAGAAUGUUAUCACGGGAGACACACGGCGGGUGCUAACGUCCGUCGUGAAGAGGGAAACAACCCAGACCGCCAGCUAAGGUCCCAAAGUCAUGGUUAAGUGGGAAACGAUGUGGGAAGGCCCAGACAGCCAGGAUGUUGGCUUAGAAGCAGCCAUCAUUUAAAGAAAGCGUAAUAGCUCACUGGUCGAGUCGGCCUGCGCGGAAGAUGUAACGGGGCUAAACCAUGCACCGAAGCUGCGGCAGCGACGCUUAUGCGUUGUUGGGUAGGGGAGCGUUCUGUAAGCCUGUGAAGGUGUACUGUGAGGUAUGCUGGAGGUAUCAGAAGUGCGAAUGCUGACAUAAGUAACGAUAAAGCGGGUGAAAAGCCCGCUCGCCGGAAGACCAAGGGUUCCUGUCCAACGUUAAUCGGGGCAGGGUGAGUCGACCCCUAAGGCGAGGCCGAAAGGCGUAGUCGAUGGGAAACAGGUUAAUAUUCCUGUACUUGGUGUUACUGCGAAGGGGGGACGGAGAAGGCUAUGUUGGCCGGGCGACGGUUGUCCCGGUUUAAGCGUGUAGGCUGGUUUUCCAGGCAAAUCCGGAAAAUCAAGGCUGAGGCGUGAUGACGAGGCACUACGGUGCUGAAGCAACAAAUGCCCUGCUUCCAGGAAAAGCCUCUAAGCAUCAGGUAACAUCAAAUCGUACCCCAAACCGACACAGGUGGUCAGGUAGAGAAUACCAAGGCGCUUGAGAGAACUCGGGUGAAGGAACUAGGCAAAAUGGUGCCGUAACUUCGGGAGAAGGCACGCUGAUAUGUAGGUGAAGCGACUUGCUCGUGGAGCUGAAAUCAGUCGAAGAUACCAGCUGGCUGCAACUGUUUAUUAAAAACACAGCACUGUGCAAACACGAAAGUGGACGUAUACGGUGUGACGCCUGCCCGGUGCCGGAAGGUUAAUUGAUGGGGUCAGCGCAAGCGAAGCUCUUGAUCGAAGCCCCGGUAAACGGCGGCCGUAACUAUAACGGUCCUAAGGUAGCGAAAUUCCUUGUCGGGUAAGUUCCGACCUGCACGAAUGGCGUAAUGAUGGCCAGGCUGUCUCCACCCGAGACUCAGUGAAAUUGAACUCGCUGUGAAGAUGCAGUGUACCCGCGGCAAGACGGAAAGACCCCGUGAACCUUUACUAUAGCUUGACACUGAACAUUGAGCCUUGAUGUGUAGGAUAGGUGGGAGGCUUUGAAGUGUGGACGCCAGUCUGCAUGGAGCCGACCUUGAAAUACCACCCUUUAAUGUUUGAUGUUCUAACGUGGACCCGUAAUCCGGGUUGCGGACAGUGUCUGGUGGGUAGUUUGACUGGGGCGGUCUCCUCCUAAAGAGUAACGGAGGAGCACGAAGGUUGGCUAAUCCUGGUCGGACAUCAGGAGGUUAGUGCAAUGGCAUAAGCCAGCUUGACUGCGAGCGUGACGGCGCGAGCAGGUGCGAAAGCAGGUCAUAGUGAUCCGGUGGUUCUGAAUGGAAGGGCCAUCGCUCAACGGAUAAAAGGUACUCCGGGGAUAACAGGCUGAUACCGCCCAAGAGUUCAUAUCGACGGCGGUGUUUGGCACCUCGAUGUCGGCUCAUCACAUCCUGGGGCUGAAGUAGGUCCCAAGGGUAUGGCUGUUCGCCAUUUAAAGUGGUACGCGAGCUGGGUUUAGAACGUCGUGAGACAGUUCGGUCCCUAUCUGCCGUGGGCGCUGGAGAACUGAGGGGGGCUGCUCCUAGUACGAGAGGACCGGAGUGGACGCAUCACUGGUGUUCGGGUUGUCAUGCCAAUGGCACUGCCCGGUAGCUAAAUGCGGAAGAGAUAAGUGCUGAAAGCAUCUAAGCACGAAACUUGCCCCGAGAUGAGUUCUCCCUGACUCCUUGAGAGUCCUGAAGGAACGUUGAAGACGACGACGUUGAUAGGCCGGGUGUGUAAGCGCAGCGAUGCGUUGAGCUAACCGGUACUAAUGAACCGUGAGGCUUAACCUUACAACGCCGAAGCUGUU
RNAcentral lists this ribosomal RNA (2929 nucleotides) under Escherichia coli O104:H4. RNAcentral's name for it is "bacterial LSU rRNA". It matches the Rfam family "Bacterial large subunit ribosomal RNA". The record is from RNAcentral. Lineage: Bacteria; Pseudomonadati; Pseudomonadota; Gammaproteobacteria; Enterobacterales; Enterobacteriaceae.